RNAcentral lists this unclassified non-coding RNA (4786 nucleotides) under Leishmania donovani. RNAcentral describes it as "gene:LdHU3.16.1400(CDS-product:hypothetical_prote in_conserved)". Lineage: Eukaryota; Euglenozoa; Kinetoplastea; Trypanosomatida; Trypanosomatidae. The record is from RNAcentral.
ACCAACGGCGGACACAGGCACCUAGGCGCGCAGCCCUGCAUCUCAGGGUCGUGGUGGUCACAUAAACACUCACCUAGACCUGCAUGCAAGCUCACGCUAUCACAGCGCACACGCACCCGCUCGCGCGAUGCAGCAGACCAUUCCUCAUGUAGCUGAUGUACACACCGGGCGUGCGUCACUCUCCGCGACCGCUGGCAAGCUCCUCGCGGAACCUACAUUCCCGGAGAAGAGCGACGCAGCGAUCACUAGCAAGCUUACAUCAACCCCCGUCGCUACAGAGGCUCUGCGGCCGCUUUCCUCGUCAUUCGAGGCGCGUAACGGCGAUGACUCGCCAUCGCUGGAGUUGAACCCCAAUGUGAACAGUUCGCACGAGAGCGGCAGCGGAAACACCCAGAGGCACGAUGUGGCAGCCACCUCGGUGGUGGUGUCUGAGACUGGGAUAGCUGCGGCCGCGGCGCAAGACGUCACCGCUGUGUGCACUGGAGAAGCCAUGGCGACUCCGGUGGAGGCGGUACUACCCGCGGCGGCCCUUCCUUCUGCGGUGGCCACCGAUCCUGCCGUGUCAGCACUGCGUGCGCCGUCUGCACUGGAGCCAUCACUGAUAGUGCGGUUCCCGGGCGCAGCACCUGCAGCAGUGGCCAAGGCGAGAGAGCAAACAUGCCUUGAGCACCUGAGCCCCAUUCGCUUCACGUCUCCGGAGCCGAGCACGUCAGCAAGGAAGGGCAGCAGCUGUCGCGGCCGCGGUGGUGCCGCCGGUGCCCCUGGUCGUGUCUCGGGGCGUAGGGGGUCGCCACAGCACUUACCCGUGUUGCGCCGCCGGACACCCGGUGCCGCGAUACGCCACCGCCGCCGCCACUUCAGUGGUGGCGGCGGUGUCAGCUGCAAGAACUUCUUUUUUCAGAGCGAGGGCGCUGCCACCUUCGGCAUCGGCACUGUGGGGCUCUUCGCCUCCACAGCAAAGCCGGUUUUUGGCCCUCGUGCAGCGAAGCGCGGUUUAUCGUUAUCGGUUCACCAGCGUCGGACACAUGGCGAGCGUGGACAGAGGUCCGUAUCGCAACCGGCUGUGCUACCGUCCUGCAGAGCCGCGCCACCUCCGACUUCAGGUGCCGCCGGUGCCGCGUCAGCGGUUCCUUGCUACUACACUCCUGCCUGCUACAUGUCGCGUGCGAUGAACGGCAUCACGGCGUGGGAGAAGCGGCAGGAGGAGUACCAGCAGUGGCGCCGUGAGAACUUGAAGAGGUCGACGUACUACCGCCUCUCCAGGCCACUCGAUGCCCUAGGUGGCACAGAGACAGAGACAGAGGAGAACGGCAUCUUGCCGUGCCUGUACAACGCCUACGCUCCCGUUCUUUUCUCUUCCGAGGAGAGACACCGUAUGGAGCGCCUCCGACUGCGCGCACUUGAGGCGGAGCGGACGGCGCGCUCGACCGCGCGCGCGCACGAGCAAGCGGCGUAUGAGAAGGAGGUGCUGCUCCAACGCUCACGCAAGCUCCAUGGCGAGGCCGUCGACUUGCCCGACUCCUACCUGCGCACCACCUACCCUGAUCCGUCCACGUUCACUGGCUACGCAGAGCCGGCCACUGGGGACGACAAGGGCCGCAUCUACCCAGCACCUCAUGCGAGCAAGGCCGCCAGCGGUUAUCUCGCCAACCCGAAGCUCAUUGUGAAGGAUCAUCACCGUGCCAUGCAACAGCACCGCGUGGCGAGGCAGCAAGCACGGCUCAAUCAGGAGGCGCAGCGCUUGGAAGCGGCGGAGCGUCAGCGGCGUGAUAUUGCGGCGCAGCUGACGGACUGCCAGUUGCAGGAAGCAGCCUACCUCGCGUCGUGGAUGGAGGGCCGCCCGCGGGUGUGUCGUGCGCGAGAGACAGAGCGGCACGCGCGGCAGGAGGCGGAGCAGCGCGCCGUGGAUGAGUGGAACCGCGCGGCUCAGACGCGCGAGCGGGAGGUGUACGCCCUGUACACCUCUCAGGAGGCAGCGGCCGCCGCAUCGCAUCGGCAGGAGCUGCGCGCGCGUGUCGUCGCGCCGCGACCGUGCAGCCGCAAGGGUAUCUCCGGCGGCCAUCGCCCGGAGCAAGAGGUGCAAUCCUUGCCAGCGGCGCCAGAUGCGGAGCACAACGGGGCUGCAGCGCGCGUUCCAAGCCCGCUGUCUACUGGCGUUCCUGACUCCUCAGGGGUCGUCGACUGUCUUCCCCAAGCAGCCGCGCCCCCACUGUCGAUGGUGCCGAGUCAGGCACCGGAGGAGAAGUUGGCGCGGGCAGCUCGUCCCUUAACACCCACCGUGCGCCCCGAGACACCGGCGCUGCCACCAUCUCAGGUGGUGGGCCCCACCUCGACAAACUUCUUCAACGAGGUGAAGCAGUGGACGCGGGAGUUCCCGUCGCCCAACACCGUUCCCGUCAACGGCUCCGACGCCGCGUACCGGCGUGCGUGGAAGGCAGAGCUAGAAGAGGCACAGCUUCGCUUUAAUCGCGAAACGACGCAGCGGCAGCGCGAAGACAUUGCGCGCCGCGUGCAAGAGGCGCGCGAGAGGGCGCUUGAGGGGAGCUGGCAGCAGGCAGAACAGAAGCGGCACGAGAAGCGUGAGCUGGCGGCGCGGCGCGCCGAUCAUACACAGGCAGACGUCGAGGCCGCCACGGCGGUGAGGUUGGAGGUAUGGCUGGAGUCGCACCGCGCUCAGCAGCAGAGAAUGGUGCAGGCCGCUGAGCGCUACAAUGAGACUCAGUUCCUGCGGCAGCAGUCGAAGCAGCGUGAGAUGGUGCUGCGAUCGUUGGAGGAGGAGGAGCUUCAGCAGCUGCGCAUGAUGGUGUCGUCCGCCUCAGCGGCGAACCGCGGGUGAGGAAGCUAAAGGAAAGGAGGCAGGGGAGAAGACGUGCGAGCCAAUCGCAAGCCACGCAGAGGCAGGACCAGAGGGCCGAAAGGACAGCAAGGAGUGUGUGAGAAAAGAAGCCGUGCACGCGCGCGCCUCUGUGUAGCAUGCGAAGAGGACAGACGGCACUCCUCUUUCGCUCUCCGCCUCUCUUCCAUUCUUUCCCUGCCCACUGACCACCCAUGCAUAUCGCUCUGCAGUCCCACCAACUCUUGAGCACAGGAGAAGGGAGGGGGAGGGGAAUGGGAUGGAGACGGGGGCUACCACUCCUGCUGCUUCUUGCUGCUACGGGGUGGAUGUGCCGUCAGUGUUGUCGCGGCGUCUGCCAGCAGGUGGAGUCUGCGUAGGUGCGUGUGUGUGUGUGCGUGUGGGUGCCAUGCGCAUACUUCUGCGUUUUUGUGUCUGUCGUUCUCUCUUGUUUUGCCCUUCCCUCCUUCCCUCCCUCCUUUCCCCUUUUCUUUCUUAGCUGCUUCACAGUCUGCAUUCUCCUCCUCCUCCGCUUUUCUCCUCUUGUGUAGUUUUUAUGCGUGGGGUCGAUGCACACUCUCACGUGAGAAUCGCCAAUGCACAUGGAGGGGUACCCCCUCCUGCUCCAUCAUCCCCGACCCGCCCCGCCCACCUUUUUCUUCUAUGUUUCUCUGUGUCUGUCUGCGCUUAUCUUCUCCGCCACCUGAUGUACAGCAACGGGUGCAACUCCGCACCUUCGUUCAGGAUCACUUUCAUGUACGUAUAUCUCCCUGUCGCGUCCCUCCUCCUUCCCCUUCCUCUCUCAACCCUUCAUCUUGCGCUCAUCGCCAUCGGACCUGCUCUUCCCUCUCAUGACUCUGCUUUUCACAGAUGCCGUUGAGGGAGUCGCUUUCUUUUCUGGGUUUGGUUGGCGUGCGUGUGCGUGUGUGUAUGUGUGUGUGUGUGUGUGCGCCUCCGCCUUUCCGUUCUCUCUCACGUCUCCUCUCGUGCGCCCUGCGAACAGAAAAGCAAGACGGAGAGAAGUGGAUGGGGCAACGGAGGGAAUGGCAUCAGCAGAAGCAGCGGUGGAGCAGGCGGGCAGUUCUGCGAAUCUGAAUGGCGCAGAAAACCAGGCCCGAUGCACUCAGAGACAUGCGCAUGCGUGUGUUGAUUCGUCUUCUCUCUCUCGCCUUCUUGCACGCCUCCAUCUCUCCCUCCCCCAUCAGCUGCACCGUCCUCUCACAGACCGAAGCGUUCUGCCUCUCACGCUCGCCCACCCCCUGUCUCCUGCGCCUCGAUCGCUUUCUGCGUCUGCUAACCUAUCCGCUUCGGCUUUCUCUUGUCGCUCUCGUACUUGUCAAGCGGGCUGGGCGUAUCUCAUCCCGUGGGAAGAACGCGUACCCACCCCAUCUAAAGAGGCGGGCAGGGGAAAAAGGGGAAGAAGGGGGGGGGAGGGGAGGACAGACCACACGACAGGCGAACUUGUCUCGUGGAAUGUGAGCGCGUGUAUCUUCGACGGCCGUCUUUCAUAUGAAACAACAGUGUAGGGCACCGCACACGCCGGCACACGCAAGGCAGGUCGUAUGCCCAAGGAUCGGCGAGACGAGGGAGAGUAGGCAUGCACGCGUUGCGGGUACGCCACACAGUUGCGUGCGUGCCUGUGUGCGUUUUGCCCUUUCUUCGUGCGCACUCAGCCUUUACCGCUGCUCCGCGCGAGCAGUGAAAGUGUACGGGUGCUGGAGGCGCACUGCCUUGUGCAUCGCCCUUCUCACAGGCGAGCGCGGUCGAUCCUGCUCUGCCGCAAUGCUACUCCGUUCGCUUGCUCGGGGAUCGACGUCGAGCGUUGCACAGCACAGGCUGCUGGGUGUGGCCACGCCGCUGCUACGAUGCCACGCCUCGCACCAUCUUCCUCUUUUCCUUUCUCCUCCAUCGAUGCGUCACUCGCGGGGCCCAUGCUCUCUUUAUUUCACAAAG